CAGUAGAACCACAGUAGUUAGUGAGGGCACCAACUACAAGGACCCUUUUGUUUGUCCCAUCAUCAUGCCCUCUGGCUGCUUUCCUGGUGGACUUUUACAUCUCUUGCAGCCUUGCUGACCUUCCUCUGGACUCAUUGUGCAGCUGUGCAACGCCAAGGUCACAGUCGAAAGAUGUCUCCGAUGAAGAUUUGGCUGUGCAAAUGAGCAAGCUGCUUGUGAAGAAAGUUCUACCUGAAACAGGUCAGUAAUAUUUACAUAAUUUUGUUCUUCUGAUUUGGGGGGCAGUUUUUUUUUGUGAAAUAGUAUAGAGUUCAGUUUCUUAAGAGUUAUUUAUAGGAAAUCUUAUUUAAAGUUUUACUUAAGUUGGCAAGAACAAAGCUGGAUCCAAACAUUCUUUAGGCUUGGACAAAAUGUUAUGUGGAAUAUCUUGUCUGGUUUUCUGUAACUUUAGAGGUACUUAAAGCUUGUGUGUGUGGAAAUUUUUAAAGCCCAGUUGCAAACUAGCUGCUGAAUAUUUUCUCUAGGUUUUAAUGUCUCUGUGUACUUAUUUCUGUUAGAGCAACUAGGUCUGGUCUGGUCUCCAUGUAUGGAUUUUUGGGAUGGCUUGAGUAUGUUGCAGUGCUGUGUGCUAGUAGAUUGCAAAUAUCUCUGAAUAGCUCAAUGUUUUAAAGAAGAUUUCUGGGUUGGCCUUUUGCUGCUAGGAGAGGCAGACUCAACUGUAGUCAAAGAGACUUCUGCUCUGUGGCUGCUGUUUCAGAUUAAUUUGUGCCUUUUCUUGGUCUACAUAACCAUCUGACAAAAGUCGUACUGAAAACAUGCAUGGUAGAAUGAUGUGAUUCCAUAACACUCACGUUCCUGCUGUUUUUUUCUCAAAUAUUGAAAACAAAUAUUUUGCUAGUGUCUUUAUGUCUCCUACUAGA
RNAcentral lists this long non-coding RNA (920 nucleotides) under Numida meleagris (helmeted guineafowl). RNAcentral describes it as "lncRNA (ENSNMEG00000010837.1)". The record is from RNAcentral. Lineage: Eukaryota; Metazoa; Chordata; Aves; Galliformes; Numididae.